Molecule: ribosomal RNA, 463 nt
Filed under: uncultured bacterium
Lineage: Bacteria
Description: bacterial SSU rRNA
Rfam family: Bacterial small subunit ribosomal RNA
Source: RNAcentral
GGGCCCGCACAAGCGGCGGAGCAUGCGGAUUAAUUCGAUGCAACGCGAAGAACCUUACCAAGGCUUGACAUAUAGAGGAAACGGCCAGAGAUGGUCGCCCCGCAAGGUCUCUAUACAGGUGGUGCAUGGUUGUCGUCAGCUCGUGUCGUGAGAUGUUGGGUUAAGUCCCGCAACGAGCGCAACCCUUGUCCUAUGUUGCCAGCGGUUCGGCCGGGAACUCAUGGGAGACUGCCGUGGUCAACACGGAGGAAGGUGGGGAUGACGUCAAAUCAUCAUGCCCCUUAUGUCUUGGGCUUCACGCAUGCUACAAUGGCCGGUACAGAGGGCUGCGAUACCGCGAGGUGGAGCGAAUCCCUUAAAGCCGGUCUCAGUUCGGAUUGGGGUCUGCAACUCGACCCCAUGAAGUCGGAGUCGCUAGUAAUCGCAGAUCAGCAACGCUGCGGUGAAUACGUUCCCGGGCCUU